This 484-nucleotide ribosomal RNA is filed under the name uncultured bacterium. RNAcentral describes it as "partial 16S ribosomal RNA". It matches the Rfam family "Bacterial small subunit ribosomal RNA", at positions 30 to 507 of the family's 1533-position model. The record is from RNAcentral.
AUUGAACGCUGGCGGCAGGCCUAACACAUGCAAGUCGAGCGGAUGAAGGGAGCUUGCUCCUGGAUUCAGCGGCGGACGGGUGAGUAAUGCCUAGGAAUCUGCCUGGUAGUGGGGGAUAACGUCCGGAAACGGGCGCUAAUACCGCAUACGUCCUGAGGGAGAAAGUGGGGGAUCUUCAGACCUCACGCUAUCAGAUGAGCCUAGGUCGGAUUAGCUAGUUGGUGGGGUAAAGGCCUACCAAGGCGACGAUCCGUAACUGGUCUGAGAGGAUGAUCAGUCACACUGGAACUGAGACACGGUCCAGACUCCUACGGGAGACAGCAGUGGGGAAUAUUGGACAAUGGGCGAAAGCCUGAUCCAGCCAUGCCGCGUGUGUGAAGAAGGUCUUCGGAUUGUAAAGCACUUUAAGUUGGGAGGAAGGGCAGUAAGUUAAUACCUUGCUGUUUUGACGUUACCAACAGAAUAAGCACCGGCUAACUUCGUG